GAUGAACGCUGGCGGCGUGCCUAAUACAUGCAAGUCGAGCGAACGGACGAGAAGCUUGCUUCUCUGAUGUUAGCGGCGGACGGGUGAGUAACACGUGGAUAACCUACCUAUAAGACUGGGAUAACUUCGGGAAACCGGAGCUAAUACCGGAUAAUAUUUUGAACCGCAUGGUUCAAAAGUGAAAGACGGUCUUGCUGUCACUUAUAGAUGGAUCCGCGCUGCAUUAGCUAGUUGGUAAGGUAACGGCUUACCAAGGCAACGAUGCAUAGCCGACCUGAGAGGGUGAUCGGCCACACUGGAACUGAGACACGGUCCAGACUCCUACGGGAGGCAGCAGUAGGGAAUCUUCCGCAAUGGGCGAAAGCCUGACGGAGCAACGCCGCGUGAGUGAUGAAGGUCUUCGGAUCGUAAAACUCUGUUAUUAGGGAAGAACAUAUGUGUAAGUAACUGUGCACAUCUUGACGGUACCUAAUCAGAAAGCCACGGCUAACUACGUGCCAGCGGCCGCGGUAAUACGUAGGUGGCAAGCGUUAUCCGGAAUUAUUGUGCGUAAAGCGCGCGUAGGCGGUUUUUUAAGUCUGAUGUGAAAGCCCACGGCUCAACCGUGGAGGGUCAUUGGAAACUGGAAAACUUGAGUGCAGAAGAGGAAAGUGGAAUUCCAUGUGUAGCGGUGAAAUGCGCAGAGAUAUGGAGGAACACCAGUGGCGAAGGCGACUUUCUGGUCUGUAACUGACGCUGAUGUGCGAAAGCGUGGGGAUCAAACAGGAUUAGAUACCCUGGUAGUCCACGCCGUAAACGAUGAGUGCUAAGUGUUAGGGGGUUUCCGCCCCUUAGUGCUGCAGCUAACGCAUUAAGCACUCCGCCUGGGGAGUACGACCGCAAGGUUGAAACUCAAAGGAAUUGACGGGGACCCGCACAAGCGGUGGAGCAUGUGGUUUAAUUCGAAGCAACGCGAAGAACCUUACCAAAUCUUGACAUCCUUUGACAACUCUAGAGAUAGAGCCUUCCCCUUCGGGGGACAAAGUGACAGGUGGUGCAUGGUUGUCGUCAGCUCGUGUCGUGAGAUGUUGGGUUAAGUCCCGCAACGAGCGCAACCCUUAAGCUUAGUUGCCAUCAUUAAGUUGGGCACUCUAAGUUGACUGCCGGUGACAAACCGGAGGAAGGUGGGGAUGACGUCAAAUCAUCAUGCCCCUUAUGAUUUGGGCUACACACGUGCUACAAUGGACAAUACAAAGGGCAGCGAAACCGCGAGGUCAAGCAAAUCCCAUAAAGUUGUUCUCAGUUCGGAUUGUAGUCUGCAACUCGACUACAUGAAGCUGGAAUCGCUAGUAAUCGUAGAUCAGCAUGCUGCGGUGAAUACGUUCCCGGGUCU
This 1372-nucleotide ribosomal RNA is filed under the name uncultured bacterium. RNAcentral's name for it is "bacterial SSU rRNA". It matches the Rfam family "Bacterial small subunit ribosomal RNA", at positions 28 to 1381 of the family's 1533-position model. The record is from RNAcentral.